ACACCUGAUCAGUUGUGCACUCUUGUGUCAUGGUUAUCUGUCGUAGUUUGAAGUUUCCUGUUCUUAUUUUGAAGUUCUCUCUCAUGUGUCUCUGUGCACUUUACUUCCUGCCUUUGUCUUUCCCUCCAGUGUGGAUUGUUGUCUUGAUUUGUUUCAUCUGUUUGUCCUGAGUUCAGUUCGUCUGUUUAGUCUCUUUCAGCUUCAAGUUCCUUAUCCUGCCUUGUUUUUCCUGAACAGUUUGAGUUCGCCUGUUUGUUUCCUGCCAGUUUCAGCCACUUCUUUGUUAGAAACCAUGGAGGAGACAACCGACCAGGUGGUGUAAGAUGAAGCUGCGCUGGCACACACAGACUGUGGAGAUGACUGUUUUUGU
Molecule: non-coding RNA, 370 nt
Organism: Paralichthys olivaceus (Japanese flounder)
Lineage: Eukaryota; Metazoa; Chordata; Actinopteri; Pleuronectiformes; Paralichthyidae
Source: RefSeq, a predicted model, not a curated record